GUGCUCCCUGCCGCAGUUCAUAUACUAAAACUGGAACAAUAUAGAAAGUAUUGGCAUGACCCCUGCAUGAGGAUGACACACAAAUUCAUGACUCAUUCCAUGUUUUU
Cricetulus griseus (Chinese hamster) is the source of this 107-nucleotide small nuclear RNA. The record is from Ensembl. NCBI's taxonomy places the organism in Eukaryota, Metazoa, Chordata, Mammalia, Rodentia, Cricetidae.